CCUACGGGUGGCUGCAGUGAGGAAUAUUGGUCAAUGGCCGAGAGGCUGAACCAGCCAAGUCGCGUGAGGGAAGACGGCCCUACGGGUUGUAAACCUCUUUUGUCGGGGAGCAAAGAGAGUCACGUGUAACUCUUUGAGAGUACCCGACGAAAAAGCAUCGGCUAACUCCGUGCCAGCAGCCGCGGUAAUACGGAGGAUGCGAGCGUUAUCGGGAUUUAUUGGGUUUACAGGGUGGGCAGGCGGCGGUGCAAGUCAGCGGUAAAAUUGCGGGGCUCAACCCCGUACUGCCGUUGAAACUGCGUGCCUUGAGUGCAGGAGAGGUAUGCGGAAUGCGUGGUGUAGCGGUGAAAUGCAUAGAUAUCACGAAGAACUCCGAUGGCGAAGGCAGCAUACCGGCGCGCAACUGACGCUGAUGCACGAAAGCGUGGGUAUCGAACAGGAUUAGAUACCCGAGUAGUC
RNAcentral lists this ribosomal RNA (459 nucleotides) under uncultured bacterium. Its description in RNAcentral is "partial 16S ribosomal RNA". It matches the Rfam family "Bacterial small subunit ribosomal RNA", at positions 338 to 795 of the family's 1533-position model. The record is from RNAcentral.